UUCAACACCGUUAAGCAGGUUGUCAUAUUUCUGUAUUCUUUCAUCUUGAUCCAUUCGAAGAGUCGAAGUCAAAGAAAUCUGAAACGAGCUUUAUUAUUUUGGAUUCCCAAUUCGAAGAAGAAUGCAAACCCUUAUUUAUUCUGCUGUAAAAGCUGUUGAUUUCGUGAUGGAUUUAUUUAUAAAUGUUCUGCGUACUAUUUACGCCAUGGUUUACUUACGAGUCUGGGAUCAAUCAAUCGAUUUCGAAAACGAAGAAAUGGCCGCCGAUCCGGAGGUUCAUGACAUGUUGCCCGAGACCGAAACCGAGUCGGAGUCCGAGAGCGACACCGACUCGAGCUCUAGUGAUAGUGAGAGUUCUGAUUGAUUCUUAAAUCCCAGAGUUGUGGACAUCUUCGACGAUUUAUUUUUAAUAUGAUCUCAGUUCCACUUCUCUUAUUAAACUAUAGGAUGCUUUAAUUGGAAUAUAAUAAACUAGUUCCUA
Drosophila rhopaloa is the source of this 481-nucleotide long non-coding RNA. RefSeq lists it as uncharacterized. The transcript has 3 exons. Lineage: Eukaryota; Metazoa; Arthropoda; Insecta; Diptera; Drosophilidae. The record is from RefSeq and is a predicted model, not a curated record.